This 318-nucleotide long non-coding RNA is filed under the name Populus trichocarpa (black cottonwood). RNAcentral's name for it is "long non-coding RNA (PTRI_LNC004099)". The record is from RNAcentral. Lineage: Eukaryota; Viridiplantae; Streptophyta; Magnoliopsida; Malpighiales; Salicaceae.
CCCCCGCCCCUGCAUGCAGAACGCUAUUCGUUCUGCAUGCAGAGAAGGAAAUAAAGAAACGCCAGCAGAGGAGAGGGAGAAGGGUUACCUGGCGCGGAGGAGGCAGCGGCUUGCUGCGUUUCUGGCGGCGCUGUGGCGGAGGCGUAGCCCACGGACGGCGGUUCCAGGCGGCGCUGCAGCUGUUCCGGACGUCCGUUUUCCUUUUUUUCUAUGUUUCGGUCUUCUCUUUUUCUUCCCCUCCCUCUCUUCUCUCAGUCUGUUUUUCUUUCCUCUGUUUUUUUCUCUGUUUUUCUCUCCUCUCGGUUUCUCUCUUCUGUC